UCAGAUCUGGGAUAACUCCGGGAAACUGGAGAUAAUACCGGAUAAUCCGUGAACGCUGGAAUGCCUUACGGUUCAAAGCUUUAGCGUCUGAGGAUGGGUCUGCGGCCGAUUAGGUAGUUGCUGGGGUAACGUCCCAACAAGCCGAUAAUCGGUACGGGUUGUGAGAGCAAGAGCCCGGAGAUGGAUUCUGAGACACGAAUCCAGGUCCUACGGGGUGCAGCAGGCGCGAAAACUUUACACUGCGCGAAAGCGCGAUAAGGGGACCUCGAGUGCGUGCGCAAUGCGUACGCUUUUCAUAUGCCUAAAAAGCAUGUGGAAUAAGAGCCGGGCAAGACCGGUGCCAGCCGCCGCGGUAACACCGGCGGCUCAAGUGGUGGCCGCUAUUAUUGGGCUUAAAGGGUCCGUAGCCGGACCAGUUAGUCCCUUGGGAAAUCUUACGGCUUAACCGUAAGGCUGCCAAUGGAUACUGCUGGUCUUGGGACCGGGAGAGGCAAGAGGUACUUCAGGGGUAGGAGUGAAAUCCUGUAAUCCUUGAGGGACCGCCAGUGGCGAAGGCGUCUUGCUAGAACGGGUCCGACGGUGAGGGACGAAAGCUAGGGGCACGAACCGGAUUAGAUACCCGGGUAGUCCUAGCCGUAAACGAUGCGAGCUAGGUGUCACGUGGAUUGCGAAUCCAUGUGGUGCCGUAGGGAAACCGUGAAGCUCGCCGCCUGGGAAGUACGGCCGCAAGGCUGAAACUUAAAGGAAUUGGCGGGGGAGCA
Molecule: ribosomal RNA, 761 nt
Filed under: uncultured archaeon
Lineage: Archaea
Description: bacterial SSU rRNA
Rfam family: Archaeal small subunit ribosomal RNA
Source: RNAcentral